GGACCGGGUGUGUGUAGCAGCCCAACACACCCCCUCCCCCGCCCACUCUCUUUCCUUCCUCUCUCCUCCGUCCCGAGUUUCCCCGAGACCGGCCGGCUUCACCACCAUCACAUACCGCCGUCCGGCCACUAGAGAUCGCCAGACUGGUCCCGUUCAGACCCUUGUCGCUCCCUCUUCCUUCCUGGGCCGGUGACCGGGUCGGUGACGCUGCCGGACAUGAGAAAUCCCGCCGGAACGCCGGAUAGUCCACUCGCCGGAAAUUUCUCCUCCGGCCACCAAAGUUCGUGACUCUUGGCUCAUCUUGUAGCUCUCGUCAAGGUGAGUAUUCCCUCAAAAAGAAUUGGUCCAAUUCGAUCUUGUUAGGGUGAAAUGUAUAAUUGAAGCUCUAGGGUUCUUUAUUGUGUUUUGAUUUGAUUGACCUGUUUAGAGCUAGAAUUGAGCUUAGUGUUGUUCAUGAAAGUUGUUCGAAAUGUUGAGAGGAAGGUUCUAUCAAAUUUUAGUGACGAUUGGGGGUGGCCGGAGAUUGGCCGCCGGCCGACCGCCGCCGCCGGCGGAGCUGGCGGCGGUGUUGCCACUUUUUGGGCAGUUUUUCAUGCUUAUUAAAUUGCUAAAAAUGGUAGAAACCCAUUGGUGGAAAGUUAGCAAUUUUUGGAGAAAUGUUGGUUAAGUUUCGGAUUUUUCGAAGACUAGGAUAUUAACGGUUAAAAUUAAUAACCGGGUAUAAGAAUAUUACUGUUAGACAGUUGUUGGAUUGUGCUGAUAUGUGGAAGUGGAUAUUGGAGUAUUAUGUAUGGAUUUGGGAUUGGUUUUAGUUGAAGAGGGUGUCCAUAGUAUAUCUAAUGGGUGUCCAUAGUAAAGACUAGUUAGAAUGCUUAGCAAACUUGGAUUCAAGGUGAAAGAAUGCAUGUUUGAUGAUUUGCAUAAGUAUGGUUUUGAUUUUGGACUUAUGGUGGUAAAUGUGAUGUGGUUAGGAAGGGUAGAGUUGUAGAUUAGAGUGUUGAACUACGAGUGGCUUGAUCCCUU
This 1023-nucleotide long non-coding RNA is filed under the name Fragaria vesca (wild strawberry). RNAcentral's name for it is "long non-coding RNA (FVES_LNC004947)". Lineage: Eukaryota; Viridiplantae; Streptophyta; Magnoliopsida; Rosales; Rosaceae. The record is from RNAcentral.